Molecule: unclassified non-coding RNA, 2630 nt
Filed under: Centruroides sculpturatus (bark scorpion)
Lineage: Eukaryota; Metazoa; Arthropoda; Arachnida; Scorpiones; Buthidae
Description: ankyrin-1-like, transcript variant X2
Source: RNAcentral
UUAUCUUGCACGCGUUUCUGCAAUUUCCUCAAUAGAAAUUCCACUUUUAUAGUCUUAUCUGUCGUAUUAAUGUGUUAUUUAAGCAAUUAUAACAGUAUAAUUUAUAAAAAUCUCUGUUGAAAUGUGGCUUGAUAUCUUGCAUGCCAUUUAAGUUAGUUAAAAAUAAUGAUUUAGUUGGGUUAUGGAGGGUACAGACGAGUGCAGACGUUUAAGAGAUGGUAGCGAUGAUGAAGGAGAGAAUGUCCUUCCAGGAAAAAACAGGAUACAGAAUGACAACUUGCAAGAGUUGAAUGGGAUGGUAAACAUUGAGAAGGAGGAAUAUAAAAUAGAAAUGGAUGCCAUUUCGCCUAAAAAAUCAACGUUGAAGAGGCAGACUACUCGUAGGGAAUUCUUCCUACCGAUCCAUCAGGUUGUGAGAAAUGGGAAUGUGGAAGCUCUGAAGUGUUUUCUGAAUAAUAUGGAUGCUAAAUCCAUCAAGAAGCAGAUUAAUUCCUUGGACGAUAAGAAUAUGACUCCGUUGCAUUACGCUUCCCGUUAUAAUCAUUUGGCCAUUGUAAAGUUGUUGUUGGAAUAUGGAGCGGAAAUUAAUAGAAGAGGAGAAGAUGAUAUUUUACCGCUGCAUGUUGCUUCUAGAUAUCGUCGGCCAAGUAUGUCACCUGUUACAGAUGAAGUAGAUGCUUCUUACAGCUCUGUAAUUGGUCUAUUAAUUUCUAGAGGUGCUUCCGUUAAUUGUAAAGAUAGAUAUGGGCUGACGCCAUUACACUAUGCAGCUAUGAGAGGAAACGUAAUGGCUGCUAAAGAGCUCCUACAAAAUCCAACUAUAAACAUUCGGGUUACGGAUAAACAAGACAUGAUGCCGUUGCAUCUCGCUGCAAAUUAUGGAAAUUACAAAAUUGUGGAAUUAUUAAUUGAAGCUGGUUCUCCCAUAUUAGUCUACGAUGAACAGUUUCAGACUCCUCUCCACAAAGCUGCAGCAGAAGGUUACAGUGAUAUCGUAGAGCUACUGUUGAAAGUUGCCAAAGAAGAAAGUCUAGAUAUAAUGAAAGAAAUAAUUGCAGAAAAAGACGAAGAUGACAAUUCCGCUCUUCAUCUUGCGGUCGAAAAAGGACAUUUUAAUGUGACGAAAAUUCUGUUGGAACACGAUGCGGAUGUAAAUUCUUCCGGAGAAUUUCGCAUGUAUCCAUUACAUUUGGCUUCAACGAUAGGCAGCUUGGGUAUCGUGAAACUUUUAAUUGAGUAUAAUGCUCAAGUAAAUUGUUUAAAUUAUCAACAAGAGACACCACUGCAUAGGGCUGCAUCAUUCAAUCACAAAGAUAUCAUAGACUAUCUAAUUAAACAUGGUGCUUUGAUAGAAUGCCGCUGCAUAAAUCAUUUCACUCCUCUGUUACUUGCUGCCAAAGAAGGUCAUAUCGAUGCCAUAAAGAUAUUAUUAGAGAACAAUGCAGACGUUUCAGUUGUCGACAGAAACGAGAAAUCAGUUGUUUACUGGUUAUGCGAAAGGAACCAUCCCGAAGCAUUGAAAAUAUUAUUGGAAGAUAGUUUUGCACCAAAUUUAAUUUUCAAAGAAGAUGCUUAUGAAAAUAAUCCUCUGCAUGUUGCAGCAGAACAUGGAUAUGCCGACGUAUUAAAAAUUUUGUUAGAGCAUGGAGCUGAUAUUCACAGUAAAAAUGAAGAUGAGGAAACUGCAUUACAUCUUGCAGCUCAAUCAGGACAUAGAAAUGUCGUAAAGCUUUUGUUGGAGACGAACAAAUCUAUAGUAAAUGCCGAAGAUGAGGAAAAGAAUACUCCACUUCAUGUUGCUGCACUUAAAGGACAUCAGAAAGUAGUAAUAGAUUUGUUAUAUGCCGGUGCAAAUGUAGAAUCAAGAAAUUGUAAUUUGUGGACUGCUUUAGACUGUGCUGCUUAUGGUGGUUGGUUGAAAACGGCAAGAAUUCUUCUUAAAGCUGGUUCUCCCGUCGAUCCUUUAGACAAAUCCAAAACGACACCACUUCAUUUAGCCGCAUCCAAAGGGCAUGCAAAAGUCGUGGAAAUGCUUUUAGAAUUUAAUGCUAAAAUCGGUCAAGUCGAUGCAGAAAAUAAUAAUUGUCUAGAUUUGGCAAUUAGAUCGAAUCAGAGGGAAGUUGUUUUAGUUAUAAUUAAUAAUAAAAACUGGAAAGAUGCUUUACGAAACUUUACUACCAGUAGUAAAUAUGGUAUUCAUCAAACUCCAUUGAGAAAACUUAUUAGACAUAUGCCGGAUGUUGCGGAACAAGUGUUUGAUAAAUUUAUAACAGAUAACGGAUAUAAUAGUGAACACCCAAAACUGAAAAAAUACUAUAAUUACGAGUUUCUGGACGAUAUGUUUGUUACUUCAUUCAGUUUUGAAAGUCGAGGAAGUAGAGAAAGUCUUUUUGAUUCAUUAUUUAUGAUGAACAUAAUAAAAUAAAAACAACAAGUCUGCUGUACACUGAGGAUAAAGAAAUUUUAAAACAAAACCAUCCUCUGAUGUUGAUGGUUACUCUACAAAAACAACAAUUAUUGGGACAUCCAAUAUGUACAAGUCUACUGAAUUACAAGUGGAAGAUCUAUGGAAGAUAUGUGUACUACACAAAUCUCCUAUUAUACAUUUUAUUUUUAAUAUUUUUCACUGG